GAAGAAUUGGACGACUUCAGAGCAUCCAUCAGACAUUCUUCUCCAAAAGAUGGCCAACCUGUUGUGGAUCACUUUGACACUGAUCUUCCUUCUGUCUGCUGGAUGUUCGGCUCACAGGGACCCGAAAUAUGAAGCUGGUCUUGUAGCAGCAAUUGUAAAUGCAGGGCAUAACAAACCUGCGAAUCAAGAGAACAAACCUGCGAAUCAAGAGAACAAACCUACUCUCUUGAGUAAGGUGAAGUCAAAGUAGAAGAAAU
Molecule: long non-coding RNA, 257 nt
Organism: Scomber japonicus (chub mackerel)
Lineage: Eukaryota; Metazoa; Chordata; Actinopteri; Scombriformes; Scombridae
Exons: 3
Source: RefSeq, a predicted model, not a curated record